AAUAAAAAUAAAAAUAAAAAAAGAAAAGAAAAGGAACAUGUGCGGCAAGUUUUGUGAGGCGGAGGGCGCUCCAAGGGACAUGGAAAGCAGUGAAGAGGGAUAGGAGAAAAGGUUAAAGAAAUGGAGGGGUAGCAAUUGAAACCGGGAAUAUGUGGCUCAAAUCCGCAGGUUGAAGCUGCAGCGAUUCCUUAUCUCUCGCUCCCGUCUUCUUCUUGUUUCCCUUCUCGAUUCUCAACUGUUAUUAUUGUUGGCCAAGUAAAAGAGGUGUGUGUGUAGAGAGAGAGAGAUGGGUGGCUCUGAGGACGCGUCCGGCCGCAACACGGCCUGUGUCGCCUCCAGCGGCAGCCUCCGUGCGGCCUCCAGGGGGGAGGGCGACGAUGGCGCGGAGGAGGACGAGGAGGGGGAGGAGCCCCGGCGCCGCCCGAUCUGCCCCUCCGCCGCCGCGGGGUUUGAGGCCGGGUUCGGCAACGAGAGGGAGGUCAGCCUCCGGGAAUGGCUGGACCAGCCGGGGCGCGCGGUCGACCUCCUCCAGUGCCUCCAUAUCUUCCGGCAGAUCGCCGACGCGGUGAGCGCGGCCCACGCCCAGGGCGUCGUCGUCGGCAACGUCCGCCCCUCCUGCUUCGUCAUGUCCUCCCUCGACCGCGUCUCCUUCAUCGAGUCAGCCUCCUGCUCUUCCUCCUCCGACUCCUCCGAGGACGGCGCCGGGUCGCCCGACGGGUUCGGGGAGCGGGGCGCCACGGGAACUCCGGAGAGCGCCUCCGAGAUGCCGGCGGUCUCGGCGUGCUUGGAGGAGGCCAAGGAGCGUGGGGAGGGCGACGUGGGCGCGGGAGAUCGGACGGCGUUCCCGCUGAAGAAGAUCUUGCUGAUGGAGUCCAUCUGGUACACGAGCCCAGAAGAAGCCACCGGGCGAUCGGGUACAUUUGCGUCGGACAUCUAUCGAUUAGGCGUUCUUCUCUUCGAGCUGUUCUGCACGUUCGACUCGCUGGAAGAGAAGCUUAUAACCAUGUCCAACUUGAGACACCGGGUUCUACCACCGCAGCUGCUGCUCAAGUGGCCUAAGGAAGCUUCCUUCUGUCUGUGGCUCUUGCACCCUCAACCGGAUACCCGGCCGAAGAUGAGUGAGGUAUUACAUAGUGAGUUCCUUAAUCAACCAAGGGAUAGUCUGGAGGAGCGUGACGCAGCCAUUAAGUUAAAAGAAGAGAUUGAAGAUCAGGAAUUACUGCUGGAUUUUCUUUUGCAUUUGCAGCAAAGAAAGAAGGAAAUUGCUGAUCGGUUGCAUGAUACUGUCUGUUUUCUCUCUGCUGAUAUCGAGGAGGUCCUACAUCAGCAGUCAAUCCUCAAAAAGAAGUCAUACCAAGAACUGGACAAUGAUGAGCACUCAGCUGUGGGAACAUUGGAUAAAGCCUCAUUGCAUCCCGUGAUGGAUGAGCACUCAUACAGCUCUGGUUCUAGAAAACGCCUCAGACCUGAGCUUCAGAAUUUUGUUCCUGAGGAGAAUGUUGCUGAAGGUGCAAGAUCAGAAACAGAUCAGCAAAUUCAGGAAAAUGCAUUAUCAAAGAGCUCACGGUUGAUGAAGAACUUUAAAAAAUUGGAGGCAGCUUAUUUUUCUGCAAGAUGCAGGCAAAUGAAACCAUCAGGCAAAUCAGUAACCAAAUUCUUUCAAGUUACCAGUAGUGGCAGAGGGUCAAUGAUUAGGACCGAGGGAAGCUCAGUUGACGAUAAAGUAUAUAGGAGAGGAAAUACUGGUGAAACGAAAAGUGAAUGGAUAAAUCCUUUUCUUGAUGGCUUGCGCAAAUAUCUAGCAUUCAGCAAGUUGAAAGUUAGGGCUGACCUUAAGCAUGGUGAUCUGCUGAAUUCAAUGAAUUUAGUAUGUUCCAUGGGCUUUGAUCGGGAUAAAGAAUUUUUUGCUACUGCUGGUGUAAAUAAGAAAAUUAAGGUUUUUGAAUGUGACACAAUUCUGAAUGGUGACCGCGACAUUCAUUAUCCUGUAACAGAAAUGACAAAUACAUCAAAAAUAAGCUGUAUUUGUUGGAACAAUUAUAUUAAGAGCCAUAUAGCCUCCAGCGACUUCGAGGGUGUUGUACAGGUGUGGGAUGCUACGAGGAGCCAAGUUUUUGCAGAAAUGCGGGAGCAUGAGAGACGUGUAUGGUCUGUUGACUUCUCUCUUGCAGACCCAACAAAAUUGGCCAGUGGUAGUGAUGAUGGUGCUGUGAAGAUAUGGAAUAUCAAUCAGGCUGGAAGCGUGUGUACAGUCAAAACCAAGGCAAAUGUGUGCUCCGUUCACUUUCAACCGGAUUCUGCAUAUUCUCUUGCAAUUGGUUCUGCUGAUCAUAAGAUCUAUUGUUAUGAUCUGCGGAACUUGAGAAUACCUAGCUGUACACUAGCUGAUCAUAUGAAGACAGUGAGCUAUGUGAAAUACUUGGAUUCAUCAACUAUCGUAUCUGCAUCUACUGAUAGUUCAUUGAAGCUUUGGGACUUGUCCACAAGUAUAUCAAGAAUGAUAGAAACUCCUCUUCAGACUUUCACGGGGCAUAUAAAUAUAAAGAAUUUUGUUGGCCUGUCUAUUUCUGAUGGAUAUAUCGCGACAGGCUCUGAAACAAAUGAGUUUCUUUUGUCUUGGAUCAGGUUUUUGUCUAUUCCAAAGCUUUUCCUAUGCCAGUGUUGUCAUACAAAUUCAGCAUUAUCGACCCGAUAUCUGGCAAGGAAGUUGAUGACACAUCACAAUUCAUAUCUUCUGUGUGCUGGCGAGGCCAGACUUCCAUGUUGCUUGCUGCAAGUUCCAGCGGUAACAUUAAAUUCUUGGAGAUGGUUUAAGUUCAGUGUUCACAGAUAACGGCUGUCAUCUCGUGGUAAAAAGUUAGUGCAUUCAUCGCUUUGUCGAGCAGCAGAAGCAAUCAAGAAUGAUAAAAAGUGGCUGUGGUAGGAACGGUGAAGUUAGCAGGAGCCUCUACUUAAUUAUAGGUGAAGUAGUUAACAUAUUGUAUCAUAAAAAUGGAAAAGAAGAAGAGGAAGACUAAGAGGGAAUGGUUCAUGUACAUCAUUGGUUACAGGUAUAUAGUCGAUUACAUCAAGCUUUUCGAUCAACUGAUUGGGUUUCCUUGGUUAAAGGCUACAAGGGAAUGAAUGGUUCAUGUGCAUGCAUCACUAAUUAGAGGUACAUAGUUAAUCAGAUCAGGCUUUUCAAUCAAAUGUUUGGUUUUCCUGAUUAAAAGUUUGUUUCCACUGCAAUUUGGUGCAUUGGUAGGUCCACAUCUCAAGUUCAUCAGCAACAAAAAAAAUUGUUUUAGCUGUUCACCAUCUUUUUCUUUGAUAUUCUAGUGGGUAUAGCCUCUCGGAGGCCGAUGCUGCUGCCAUCGAGAUAAAACCGGCGCUUGCACAGUACACCCACCACUGUUUAGGCCCCCGUUGAUAGCAGCAGCAUCUCUCACAGAAUCAUUGUUGCAUGUGAUGUAUUCUCUCUUGUUUUUUUUUUUUUUUGAAGUUGUGGUUUGUUGGAAGUACUUUUUUGCCUAGUAAUUGAUGGAAAGACUGGUAGAUGUCGAGAUGCAGACGCUUCAUCAGUUUAUGGGGUUGGCUUACGAACCAUUGACAGGUGUGUGCAAUCUUCUCUCGGCAUGACUUAAAACUUAUUUGUCUGUUGAUCUUUGGUGUGCACGGUAGACUCCUCCAUUGGCACACGGUGUGCAACAUUGGAGUAAAGAAUACAUUUUACCGUGGAGCUUUGUUUUCUUAAUGUUGUAUGUCUCCAACACUGAGUCAUUGGAUCCGCAGGUGAGUACUGUCGAAAGUAGUGUUCUAUUCUACCCAGGAUGCAUAUUUUAUUGCCCUUUUUAGGAGAAGACCUACCCUGUUCCGAAACGUGGUACACUUUGGAUGGUAGAGAUUGUGGAGGACAUCGACGCUGUGGAUGUUGGUGGUACGUGUUUCAUGUUUGACAUAUGGUUUCAUUGUUCGGCCUUUCAAAAUUACCUAUUAGUUUUACUAGAAUAUGAAAAUGAUGAAAUCAUUCAUUUGAAUUUU
Musa acuminata subsp. malaccensis (wild Malaysian banana) is the source of this 4020-nucleotide non-coding RNA. NCBI's taxonomy places the organism in Eukaryota, Viridiplantae, Streptophyta, Magnoliopsida, Zingiberales, Musaceae. The record is from RefSeq and is a predicted model, not a curated record.